Molecule: long non-coding RNA, 1662 nt
Organism: Anolis carolinensis (green anole)
Lineage: Eukaryota; Metazoa; Chordata; Lepidosauria; Squamata; Anolidae
Source: Ensembl
GUUUGUGUGACAUUUCGGGAAGUGCUGUAAAUAUAUGUCCACAGGUUUGGUGGUGCUCUUCCUAUAAAUCAGUCAUCUUUUGUGUUCAUAUAAACAUUGCAGGACCCCUUUACUAGAACCCCCUUAUCUUGGCCAGGCAGGAUUAGAAGAUACGCUCAUCAAAGCCCAACUGGAUAUUUUACUUGAAAUCUUGCUAGAAUUAUCCUUGUUGGAUACACAUUUCCCUUCCUCUAUAAUUUCAGAAAUGGGAGAACAAUGUCUUCAUUCAAAUCUUCUUUUCUCUGCGCCCGUUCCCACCCAUUUGCGGACUUAAAUACAGAGUUAUAUCUUUUUUAAAAGGAAGAGAAAAACCAGCCUAAACAGUUGCCACCAUGUUGGAGAAAUUCAUCAUGACAACCUACAGCAAGGAGAAACAUAUGCAAAGCUCUUUUUAAUUCCCUCGGUUUCAGUGAUGAAGGCCUUCUCCUUGCAGAGUCAAUGUGUUGUUAAUUCAGAGACCUAUGGAUUCCACAAAAGCUGGAAUAUUUACCCUCAUCCUUUUCUGGACACCUCUUAGAUAGGACUGAGUCCACUGCUGUGUUCCAUUGUUCUUUGCUGAAGGCUGGCAGAACAGAGCACUGCAGGUAUGUAUUGAACACAGGUGAAGAACUCUUUUGUGAUCCUUAUAGGAAGAAACCAAUGUCUGAGUGCAAUUUGCUUCCUCGCCCCUUAUUCCUUGCUGGUGUUUUGCACCACAAUUCCUUAACAUCUUUGAGAACUGGCCAAAAUGGGUGGAGUAAUGGGCAAUGAAGAACAGAACAUGGAGAGGGAGUCAGGUUAGAGAAGACUGCGCAAGUGUAUCACUAGAUCAAGAGAAAUUGUGGAGACAUUUCAUGUUUGAUUAGAAGGCAGAGGGGGGAAAGGUAUAUAACCAACUAUGAAGAACAAAUAGUCAGGAACGAUAGUCAUGCAGGUUUUUCCUGUUUCAAGUGCUCUAGUUUCUGGUGCAAAUAGCUGCCCCAAAACAAUGCAAAACAUGAAGAAAUAAAUGCAUCUUAUAUUUGUAAAUUGAAAACAACACAUUACCUUUUGCCUUUUUCCAAUAGACCAUGUAUCUCUUAUUUCUCAAUUUAAAAAAAAGCAUGUAGCUUGAUAACACUACGUGGAACAGAAAACAUGAGAGGCAUAUUUACAAUGCUAUAAAAUCUCCAGUUGCAUUGUUGAUUAUAACAUACGUUCUCUCUCUGUCUUGCUCACUGCACCUUUCUCAAUCCCAGCACCAUUACGCAUGAAGAGGCUGAACAGAAGGUUCCAUACCCUGCAUCCCACAUGAAGAAGCAUUGCAAUUAUAGGAGAAAAUGAAGACAUAAUUUGCUUUCCCAAGUCACGUGUCAAAUCCCUAACUGCAGUGCAGACUUCUCUACUGCAUAGGCAUCCUGUGCCAGUUUUGCAUGAGCUCGAGUUCUGAGAAAUGGCUCAGACACAGGAAUUCUUCUUGUCCUUCAGCAGUACCUGCAAAGAAGCUCCUUAAAAAUUCCUGAACUCAUCAAUCGACAAUCUAAGCCAUAUAGAAAACCAGACAGACAUCCAUGUAAGAAAGCAACAUAUAUAAUUUGUAUUACCUGCUUACCUUUGUAUGCCCACACUAAUCAAAUAAAAGUCUCAAUAUACCUGCAAGACAAA